This is a long non-coding RNA of Melitaea cinxia (Glanville fritillary), 121 nucleotides long. RefSeq lists it as uncharacterized. The transcript is spliced from 3 exons. NCBI's taxonomy places the organism in Eukaryota, Metazoa, Arthropoda, Insecta, Lepidoptera, Nymphalidae. The record is from RefSeq and is a predicted model, not a curated record.
ACAACCAUUUACAGGGCUUAGUGAAGUGUGAACAAGGUACGGCGAUAGGAGAAAUUUUAACAAAAAAAAUAUAUCAUAACCAAAAGCUCAACUUGUACAGAACUCAGGUUACAUCAUCAUC